GUAGGUGGCAAGCGUUGUCCGGAAUUAUUGGGCGUAAAGCGCGCGCAGGCGGUUCUUUAAGUCUGAUGUGAAAGCCCACGGGCUCAACCGUGGAGGGUCAUUGGAAACUGGAGAACUUGAGUACAGAAGAGGAAAGCGGAAUUCCACGUGUAGCGGUGAAAUGCGUAGAGAUGUGGAGGAACACCAGUGGCGAAGGCGGCUUUCUGGUCUGUAACUGACGCUGAGGCGCGAAAGCAUGGGGAGCAAACAGGAUUAGAUACCCUGGUAGUCCACGCCGUAAACGAUGAGUGCUAAGUGUUAGGGGGGUUUCCGCCCCUUAGUGCUGCAGCUAACGCAUUAAGCACUCCGCCUGGGGAGUACGGCCGCAAGGCUG
Molecule: ribosomal RNA, 373 nt
Filed under: uncultured organism
Description: partial 16S ribosomal RNA
Rfam family: Bacterial small subunit ribosomal RNA
Source: RNAcentral